This 492-nucleotide ribosomal RNA is filed under the name uncultured bacterium. RNAcentral's name for it is "partial 16S ribosomal RNA". It matches the Rfam family "Bacterial small subunit ribosomal RNA", at positions 29 to 507 of the family's 1533-position model. The record is from RNAcentral.
AGUGAACGCUGGCGGUAGGCCUAACACAUGCAAGUCGAACGGCAGCACAGUAAGAGCUUGCUCUUACGGGUGGCGAGUGGCGGACGGGUGAGGAAUACAUCGGAAUCUACUUUUUCGUGGGGGAUAACGUAGGGAAACUUACGCUAAUACCGCAUACGACCUACGGGUGAAAGCAGGGGAUCUUCGGACCUUGCGCGAUUGAGUGAGCCGAUGUCGGAUUAGCUAGUUGGCGGGGUAAAGGCCCACCAAGGCGACGAUCCGUAGCUGGUCUGAGAGGAUGAUCAGCCACACUGGAACUGAGACACGGUCCAGACUCCUACGGGAGGCAGCAGUGGGGAAUAUUGGACAAUGGGCGCAAGCCUGAUCCAGCCAUACCGCGUGGGUGAAGAAGGCCUUCGGGUUGUAAAGCCCUUUUGUUGGGAAAGAAAAGCAGCAGGUUAAUACCCCGCUGUUCUGACGGUUCCCAAAGAAUAAGCACCGGCUAACUUCGUG